GAGAGAGUGGGAUUAUAAAUAUUCCUCUCUUGAUAUUGGGCAGCAGGCAUGAAUGGAAGAUAGGAUUUUUUGAUGAGUUCUUUCUCUUUAGCUAAAGUUUUGUUUACAUACAUUAUUAUUCCCUUCAUUUUCAACUCACAAAUUGUAUGAGGUGGUUGCUGAGGUGUGCUGCAGCCAUCCGUUCCCCUUGGUGCAUCACCUG
Molecule: long non-coding RNA, 202 nt
Filed under: Elaeis guineensis (African oil palm)
Lineage: Eukaryota; Viridiplantae; Streptophyta; Magnoliopsida; Arecales; Arecaceae
Description: long non-coding RNA (EGUI_LNC008859)
Source: RNAcentral